CCUCAUCCUAAGUCCCAGGACCCAGAGGCUGCAGUCUCAGGGCCCAGCGGUGGGUGACACCUGCCCACCAGGUGGACCUGGGGCGGGGAACCACUAGGAGCCACUAGGAUUCCUCUCUGGCGGGCCGCUGCCUGUGUCUUGGUAAAGGCAUUCGGGCUUUGCAAUUCUGGACCAAUGCGCUGUGCCCUGGGGAGGCGCAGCCCGCUUCAGGGCGGGCUCAGGGCUCUGGGCACGCAAGGGCCCUCUGCAGAGAGGACGCACGGGCUUUGGGGCGCUUGGACUCCGCUUGUGCAGGGCCCGUGGGGCCGCGGGCAGGUCGCCCGCCACCAGAAUCUCAGCGAGUUUCCAGUUUCCCGGAACCUCCGGAGGGAACCAAGGAGCAGAAGGAGUUCAGGUGCAGAAGGCAGGUGGUUCCGGAGGCAGCUCUGCCUUAGAUCCUUAAAGGGAACCGUCCCAUGUGCGGGGAACCCACCCAUCUCACAUACCUCACAGGUGUCCAGGUUGCCCCAAGGAGGAGACAAUCCAGGACCAUGUAUGGCAGAUACGCUCAGUAUACACACCUCCCUGGGGCAGACUGUCAGCCUGCAUAAUCAACGUCGCCUCGGCGCUAGAGGAAACUUCCAGAGAACCACUUCCUUGUCCUCGGAAAAAGAAGCUAGCGGUCUCAGGAAUUGCAGAUCAUUAUCUUUCCAUCACCAGGAAGGUAGAGCCCAAUAAACAAAGUUCCUCCAUCAAAAACGACAGCACAGAGAAGACUAGAAACCCGGUUCUUCAUGGUGUCAUUGAACCACUGACUCAAAUCGGCUCUGAAGUAAAGCCCACAUUACCACUUCUUGGAUGAAUACAAGCGGAAAAUCAGGAUUGCUCACCAAGGGAAGUAGCUGUGAUGCAAUGAAAGCAAAAUACUAUUAUUAAAUGUUAAAAAUAAGCAACAGGGGAUCCCUGGAUGGCUCAGCGGUUUAGUCCUGCCUUCAGCCCAGGGCGUGGUCCUGGAGUCUCAGGAUCCAGUCCCACGUCGGGCUCCCUGUGUGGAGCCUGCUUCUCUCUCUGCCUAUGUCUCUGAGUCUCUCUCUCUCUCUCUCUCUGUGUCUCUCAUGAAUAAAUAAAUAAAACCUUAAAAAAAUAAAAAGAAA
This 1133-nucleotide long non-coding RNA is filed under the name Canis lupus dingo (dingo). RNAcentral describes it as "lncRNA (ENSCAFG00020016553.1)". The record is from RNAcentral. Lineage: Eukaryota; Metazoa; Chordata; Mammalia; Carnivora; Canidae.